This 501-nucleotide ribosomal RNA is filed under the name uncultured Glomeromycotina. RNAcentral describes it as "partial small subunit ribosomal RNA". It matches the Rfam family "Eukaryotic small subunit ribosomal RNA", at positions 591 to 1092 of the family's 1831-position model. The record is from RNAcentral. Lineage: Eukaryota; Fungi; Glomeromycota.
CCAAUAGCGUAUAUUAAAGUUGUUGCAGUUAAAAAGCUCGUAGUUGAAUUUCGGGAUCAAUGUUUCGGUCAUGUCGUUGGUAUGUACUGAUAUUAUUGGUUUCUCACCUUCUAAAGAACCGUAAUGCCAUUAAUUUGGUGUCACGGGGAAUUAGGACUGUUACCUUGAAAAAAUUAGAGUGUUUAAAGCAGGCUCACGCUUGAAUACAUUAGCAUGGAAUAAUGAAAUAGGACAUCCGAUUCUAUUUUGUUGGUUUCUAGGAUCGAUGUAAUGAUUAAUAGGGAUAGUUGGGGGCAUUAGUAUUCAAUUGUCAGAGGUGAUAUUCUUGGAUUUAUUGAAGACUAACUACUGCGAAAGCAUUUGCCAAGGAUGUUUUCAUUAAUCAAGAACGAAAGUUAGGGGAUCGAAGACGAUCAGAUACCGUCGUAGUCUUAACCAUAAACUAUGCCGACUAGGGAUCGGAUGAUGUUAAUUUUUUAAUGACUCAUUCGGCGCCUUACG